Long non-coding RNA from Pygocentrus nattereri (red-bellied piranha), 1061 nucleotides. RefSeq lists it as uncharacterized. The record is from RefSeq and is a predicted model, not a curated record. The transcript has 3 exons. NCBI's taxonomy places the organism in Eukaryota, Metazoa, Chordata, Actinopteri, Characiformes, Serrasalmidae.
UGCGUAUUCUUUUUUCCUUUUAAAUGUUCCUCAUGCUGUCUUUCAUGAUAACUUUGAGCGUUGGGUGUACUUUAUUAUAAUUAUGUUGAACUCCUCAGUAUUUGCCCCGGCUGCAUGACGGUGUGCUUUAUUCAUGUAGAUUUGCACAAGCACAAUUUAUGUAUAAAUAAUUGAAAGUGCUUAUGCAGAAAUUGUUCACAUGGUGCCCAAAUACCACAUGCUUACAAUGUGACCUUUCCCAGAGCGAUAGCUGUGGUCCAAAUUUAAGAUCCAAUGUCCUUGUUAGCAGGAGGUGAAUUCCCAUGUGGGCCCACAGCAAUCUUUGGCAGCCCUGGGAGACAAACUCGUUACCCAGUAGCCCAGGGGGCAGCUGAUAGCAGAACAUGGUGAAGCGCUCUUUAGCGAGAGACCUCGCUCGGACGACUUCUAAAUAGAGUCUUUUAUUCCCAUGUGCUUCCACUUUACCGCCACUGAGCUCCAUACCUGCUCUGGGAGUGUAACGUGGACUCUGCUGAGCAUGAUUCAGAUCUCAGAAGACCAAACUUACUGCAAAAUCUAUGAACUUUUGGUGUUGUCACUGUGUAGUUUUAAUAGACUUUUUAAAAGCCAAACCAUGCUUAAUUAAAUGGUCUAUCAGGAUUGCUUUGCCAGGUUAUUGGAAAGAAGUUGGAGUGAGAAGUUUGGAGAAAAUACUGUUGCUAUGAAUGACGGCCAGAUGUGCAUGCAGUGGAUUACAGGUGACACAGGUGACUGUGAAGCAGACACCGAGUUAUGCCUGAUGAAGGAAACGAGGAAGGGCCCAAAUGUGUGUCGGUCAGCGCAUAAAUCUGAAUUUAGAUGUGGAAGACCACACCAGACGGACGCUCAUCUCAAUAAUGUGCCUGGCCAUAUGCUGCUUGCGGAUAGGGGAGUGGGGGAGAGGAUAAGGGAGUGCAUUUUAUUUUAUUGUUUAUUUUAUUGUUGUUAUUAAAGAGCAAGAGGAUCAAAUAUGUGCCUGCACUCUUGCAUGUAUGGUCGUGGAGAAAGUCUUCACUGUAUAUUGAACAUAAAAAGCAUUCUUA